GUAGUCCACGCCCUAAACGAUGGCAACUGGGUGUUGGGGAAGCGAUUUCUCAGUACCGUAGCUAACGCGUGAAGUUGCCCGCCUGGGGAGUACGGCCGCAAGGUUAAAACUCAAAGGAAUUGACGGGGACCCGCACAAGCGGUGGAUGAUGUGGAUUAAUUCGAUGCAACGCGAACAACCUUACCUACCCUUGACAUGUCCGGAACCCCAUCGAGAGGUGGGGGUGCCCGAAAGGGAAUCGGAACACAGGUGCUGCAUGGCUGUCGUCAGCUCGUGUCGUGAGAUGUUGGGUUAAGUCCCGCAACGAGCGCAACCCUUGUCCCUAGUUGCUACGCAAGGGCACUCUAGGGAGACUGCCGGUGACAAACCGGA
RNAcentral lists this ribosomal RNA (372 nucleotides) under uncultured bacterium. RNAcentral's name for it is "bacterial SSU rRNA". It matches the Rfam family "Bacterial small subunit ribosomal RNA", at positions 790 to 1167 of the family's 1533-position model. The record is from RNAcentral.